Molecule: ribosomal RNA, 41 nt
Filed under: uncultured organism
Description: partial 16S ribosomal RNA
Source: RNAcentral
AGGACUUGACAUGGGAGGGCCGUGUCCAGAGAUGGGCAUUU